RNAcentral lists this transfer RNA (66 nucleotides) under Ommatolampis quadrimaculata. RNAcentral's name for it is "tRNA-Tyr". It matches the Rfam family "tRNA". Rfam says of the family: Transfer RNA (tRNA) molecules are approximately 80 nucleotides in length. Lineage: Eukaryota; Metazoa; Arthropoda; Insecta; Orthoptera; Acrididae. The record is from RNAcentral.
GGUUAGAUGGCUGAAAUAAUAGGUGAUAGAUUGUAAAUCUAUUAAUGGAAGAUUUUCCUCUUACCA